GACGAACCGUGCGAACGUUAUUCGGAAUCACUGGGCUUAAAGGGCGCGUAGGCGGGUUCUCAAGUCAGGGGUGAAAUCCCGCGGCUCAACCGUGGAAGUGCCUUUGAUACUGGGGACCUCGAGGGAGGUAGGGGCGUGCGGAACUUCCGGUGGAGCGGUGAAAUGCGUAGAGAUCAGGAAGAACAUCGGUGGCGAAGGCGCUCUGCUGGACCAUAACUGACACUCAGGGACGAAAGCGAGGGGAGCGAAUGGG
RNAcentral lists this ribosomal RNA (253 nucleotides) under uncultured bacterium. RNAcentral describes it as "partial 16S ribosomal RNA". It matches the Rfam family "Bacterial small subunit ribosomal RNA", at positions 524 to 776 of the family's 1533-position model. The record is from RNAcentral.